RNAcentral lists this long non-coding RNA (3342 nucleotides) under Brassica rapa (field mustard). RNAcentral's name for it is "long non-coding RNA (BRAP_LNC008099)". The record is from RNAcentral. Lineage: Eukaryota; Viridiplantae; Streptophyta; Magnoliopsida; Brassicales; Brassicaceae.
UUAACUUGAAGAAGAGAAAUGGAGAAGGCAAAGGUGUGGAGUUGAGAUGUGGCUUGUACAAAGAUAGGGCAAGAGCUAUGGAGAAUGCCUAUCAAGAGUUAUGAAGUAUCUAAAGGUGUAGAGAAGUGAUCUGAUGGAUGUUCUAAGCAAGGGUAAAGUCUAGGAGAGACUUAGAAGGGUGUUGAGAAGCAAAUGGGCGAGUGUGCAAAGAUAGGGCGAGGCUGUACGGCCAUGUACGGAUCAGUACGGACGGUAGACGACCCAAGAAGAGCAGACUCGACCAUUUGGGGGUUUUAAGCUUUGUGCAAAGUUAGGGCGCAAGGGUACGGACAGGGCAUGGUCCGUACAUCUCCUGAUGGUGUUGUGCAAAGCUUGGGACAUAAGGAAAAGGAGUUAGGCGAAUGGAUAAGGUUCUGAUCAGAUGGCAUCAAAAGAGAAUCAAGUGGAGAUCCCUUUGGAGGAGCUUUGGGCGUGGAUAAGGUUCAGGACAGGCUGGCCUUGGCUGUAAAGUAAAGGCAGCCUUGACUAUGAACCUAGACUGAUUACAAGCUUGAUACAAAGGAGCCUAAGAAGAACCAAUCAAGAGCCAGCCUAGUUUGAAUGAGCCAAUGAGGCGCCAGCCUCUUCUUUCCAAUCAGAUCACCUUCUCCUCAUGACAAACAAGACCAGCUCAUCCACACCAUCCAUUUAAACUUCAAGUAUUAUCAGCCAUUAGAUUUAGGUUUAUGAUUUGCUCUUGUAAAGGCAUAUAUAAGCCUAAGGUUGGCGAUUUGUAAAGGUUAAGGGAGUAAGGGGGAUUUCCCCUCUCCACUUCUUGGAAAUAAGAAAAUUGUGUUCUUGAAUCAGAUUCUCUUUAAUCUCUCCCUUUCUUAGUCUUUAAUCUUCUAAUCUCUCAAAGUCUCUUGUUUCUGAUUUAAGUAAACACUCUCAUCAAUCUCUCUUUCUAAAUCACCUAGAGCAAGCUCUCAUCUUUCUCCAUUGGAGUUUAUACACACACAAACACAACUAGAGAAGAGAACUCUACAAAUCUCACAUGGUAUCAGAGCCAGGUUCAUCAGAACCUGAGCUGUAGCUUCCGCAAAUCACUUGCUCUCACCUCAGCUCAAAUCAAAGCCUAGAAGACAUGUACUUGCGGUUCUGGUUACUUCAAGAAGAAGAAGACUGAAGCAUGGCGUGUUACUCCUUAUCUCUCAGCCAGUUCAACCUGUACCUGAUGAUGACUCUUGUUGGAAGCAAAGGUGUGUGGAGAGGCCUCGCGAACCUUGUCCAUGGCGCCUUGUCCAAAGGCUGUUCCUCAUCUGGUGUGAAGAGAAAGCUAUCCAGAAGAUGGCGAGUAGAGGGCUUGAAGAAAGGAGGGGUUUGUGAGUAUGAGAAACAAGGAGGAAGUCAUGAACUGAAGGAGAAGGAGAUGGGUAACGAUCCAGACUCACAUAUCCUCAAAGUCAUGAGCUUACCAUCCGAGAGUGAUACAAGGACCAACCUGGUUCCUUGAUAGUAAGCGAUUCUUUAAACCUUAAGUGAUAAUGAGCUUGUGAUAAGAUCUUGUUGUGUGUUGUGAUGUGAUUGAAAACCUGAGGAUUGUUUAAAGAUUGCUAAAUGAAAUGAAAUGAAUUUAGAAUCUAUCCCAGGAUGCUUAAAGAGACUUGUUUGGUGAUUGAGAUUGAAAUAAUAUGCUUAGCUCCAGUUCAUAGUGAUGCUUGUUGUGAUUGAUUGAAUCUGCUUGCAUACAUGUAUUGAAACUGAUUUAAAGCUGUUGCAUAUAGUCUUGUGGCUGUCUUACAUUGAAGCAUUAGAUUCAUGUCUAAAUUGCUGAGUAAAGAAGCUUUAAAAUGCCUAAGUAGCUUGCAUAAAUCUAGAAAAGAAAAUGCUUGUGCUUAGCGAGUUUGCUUGCAAAGAUUAGAACUUGAAAAUGACUUGUUUAAUCUGUUGCAAUGCUUGUGAUAUUGGGAAUCAAACUUGAUGAUUAAUCAAGGAGUGAUCCCAAUACUAUUGUGUCUCAUCUUUGCUGGAGUUUGAGUGAUGUUUCAGGUUCACAAGAUGUGUUCUUGGUUCACCAUCCAUCCGAGUUGAAAGUAGGAGACGUUUGCCCAUUGUGUGUGCAAUGGAGAGUGGAUACAAGAGUGGUGAUGCGCCACUGGUGUGUAGUCUCACUGAAGCUCACUUGCAAGCUUGGACCUAUACUCAAUCCAAGCUUGAGGAGGGGAGUUUAGUGAGCUAUCAGUCUGUUCAAGAAGGUUCAGAAGGUCCAUUGCAAGCAACUGAAGAAGAAGGAGCCAUUCGGGUCUAGGCAGUGGCGUGUCUAGGCAAGAGAGUGUUCAGAGCACUCUUGGCUGUGAGAAGAUGGAGACUCUAUCAGUGCGGCUUCUAGUGUGAGGUGGCUGAAGAGGUAGCUGAAGCUUCCACAAGCAAUCCAUGAAGAUGGCGAGUUCAGAAGGUGUUGCAAUGGAGUAAUGGUACAGAUCAUGAAGCUAUCCAUCCAAGCUUGUUCCUGUGAGAGUCUCAAGCUUGAGGGGGAGUGUUGAAGCUUACAUGAUCUGAGAGUACUUGGUGGGUAUUCAAGAAGAGGAGCAGAUCAGUUAUGAAGCAGAAUGAAGGAUGAAGAGGCAAUCACCAAUGCGGCCUCUAGAGUGAGGUGAUUGGUACUACAGUCUGAAGCAUCCUGUCAUGAAGGUUUCAGUAACAUGGUGGUGACUCAUGAAGAAGAAGCAGCCAAGACUCAGCUUGUAUCUAUCAAGGAAGAUCAACCAGUCCGAGCACUUGAUCACAACAAGAAGGUUGUGAGAAAGGGGGAGAGACCAAGAUCUGUCUGAAGAAGAGUACAAGAAGUGUUGAUGAUGAGCAAGAGGAGUGGGUUCUAUCUUGCAUCACAUGAGGGCCAUGAUCCAGAGUCUUUGUGUCCCUUACAUUGUUGGUAAGGCACAAAGACUCACUGGCCAAUCCCUAGGCCUUGGAGGCUUUACUCUUUUUCCCUCAUCAAGGUUUUGUCCCAAAGGGUUUUCCUUGGUGAGGUUUUUAAUGAGGAAGUUCUUCAAGGUUCCAAGCUUGACUUAGGAUCAGCUAAAGUCAAGCUUGAGGGGGAGUGUUAACUUGAAGAAGAGAAAUGGAGAAGGCAAAGGUGUGGAGUUGAGAUGUGGCUUGUACAAAGAUAGGGCAAGAGCUAUGGAGAAUGCCUAUCAAGAGUUAUGAAGUAUCUAAAGGUGUAGAGAAGUGAUCUGAUGGAUGUUCUAAGCAAGGGUAAAGUCUAGGAGAGACUUAGAAGGGUGUUGAGAAGCAAAUGGGCGAGUGUGCAAAGAUAGGGCGAGGCUGUACGGCCAUGUACGGAUCAGUACGGACGGUAGACGA